Molecule: ribosomal RNA, 523 nt
Filed under: uncultured bacterium
Lineage: Bacteria
Description: bacterial SSU rRNA
Rfam family: Bacterial small subunit ribosomal RNA
Source: RNAcentral
AGAGUUUGAUCAUGGCUCAGAUUGAACGCUGGCGGAAUGCUUUACACAUGCAAGUCGAACGGCAGCAUAGGUGCUUGCACCUGAUGGCGAGUGGCGAACGGGUGAGUAAUACAUCGGAACGUGCCCGGUCGUGGGGGAUAACGUAGCGAAAGUUACGCUAAUACCGCAUACGAUCUACGGAUGAAAGCGGGGGACCGUAAGGCCUCGCGCGAUUGGAGCGGCCGAUGUUAGAUUAGGUAGUUGGUGGGGUAAAGGCUCACCAAGCCGACGAUCUAUAGCUGGUCUGAGAGGAUGAUCAGCCACACUGGGACUGAGACACGGCCCAGACUCCUACGGGAGGCAGCAGUGGGGAAUUUUGGACAAUGGGCGCAAGCCUGAUCCAGCCAUUCCGCGUGCAGGACGAAGGCCUUCGGGUUGUAAACUGCUUUUGUACAGAACGAAAAGCUCUGGGUUAAUACCCUGGGGUCAUGACGGUACUGUAAGAAUAAGCACCGGCUAACUACGUGCCAGCAGCCGCGGUAAU